UUUUUUUUCUAUUUUUUUUUCAGUCUCUAAUUCAUUUAUUUCUGUUCAGAUCUUUAUGAUUUCUUUUUUUCUACUGAUUUUGGGUUUUGUUUGUUCUUCUUUCUCAAGUCCCUUUAAGUGUAAAGUUAGGUUGUUUAAUUGAGAUUUUUCUUAUUUCCUGUGGUGAGCUUAUAUUGUUAUAAACUCCCCUCUUAGAAUUGCUUUUGCUGUGUGCCAGUUUUUGAUCAUGUCUUUGCUUUCAUUUAUCUCUAAGUGUUUUUUUUAUUUCCUCUUUUAUUUCUUCAAUGAUCCAUUGGUUACUUAGUAGCAGAUUGUUUAGCCUCUGUGUGUGUGUGUGUGUGUGUGUGUGUGUGUGUUUGCAGUUUUUUCUUAUAGUUGAUUUCUAGUCUCAUAGUGUUGUGCUUAGAAAAGAUGCUUGAUGUGAUUUUAAUUUUCUUAAAUUUACCAAGGCUUAUUUAGUGGCCUAGCAUGUGAUCUGUCCUGGAGAAUGUUCCAUGCGAAAAAAAGGUGCAUUCUGCUACUUUUGGAUAUAUAAGAAUAUACAAUGGAGAAGAGACAGUCUCUUCAAUAAGUGUUGCUGGGAAGACUGGACAGUUUCAUGUAAAAGAAUGAAAUCAGAAAUUCUCUAACACUAUAUACAAAAAUAAACUCAAAGUGGAUUAAAGACCUAAAUGUAAGACUUAAUACUAUAAAAUGCCUAGAGGAAAACAUAGGCAGAACACUUUUUGACAUAAAUUACAGCAAUAUUUUUCCGGAUCUGUCUCCUAAAGUAAAGGAAAUAAAAGCAAAAAUAAACAAACGGGACCUAGUUAAACUUAGAAGCUUUUGUACAGCAAAGGAAAUUAUUAACAAAAUGAAAAGACAGCCUACUAAAUGGGAGAAAAUAUUUGCAAAUGAUACAGCCAAUAAAAGAUUAAUAUCCAACAUAUAUAAACAGCUCAUACAACCCAACAUAAAAACCCAAACAACCCAAUUAAAACAUAGGCAGAAGACCUGAACAGAUUUUUUUUCAUAAGAGAAAUGCAGCUGGCCAACAGACAUGUGAAAAUAUACACAACAUUGCUAAUCAAAAUUGCUAAUCAACAUUGCUAAUAAAAAUUUCGAUUUCAACUCACAUCUGUCAGGAUGGCUAGCCUUUAAAAUAACACAGACAACAAAUGUUGGAAAGGAUGUGGAGAAAAGAGGACCCUCCCACACUAUGGUGGGAAUGCAAAUUGCUGCAGCCACUGGAGAAAACAGGAUGGCGAUUUCUCAAAAAACUGAAAAGAAAACCACCAUAUAACCCAGCAAUUCCACUUCGGGGUCUACAUCCGAAAAAAGAAACACUGCACACUACUAAUUCCAAAAGAUGCAUGCACCUCAAUGUUCACAGCAGCCUUAUUGACAAGCGCCAAGGUAUGAGAGCAAUCUAAGUGUCCAUCAACAGGUGGAGGGAUAAAGACAAGGUGGUAUAUGGACACAACGGAAUAUUAGUCAGCCAUAAAAAAGAACAGAAAUGUCCCAUCUGUAGCAACAUGGAUGGACUUCAAGGGCAUGAUGCUAAGUGAAGUAAGUCAGAGAGAGAAAGACAAAGGCUGUAUGAUGUCGCUUAUAUGUGGAAUCUUAAAAAAAUACCACAAACUAGUGAGCAUAGCAAAAAAAGAAGCAGACUCACAGAGAAGAAACUAGUGCUUUCCAGUGAGGAGGGGGAGGGUGGAAGUUACAAACCAUCGAGUAGACUUCAAGGAAUGCUGUACCAUGCGGGGACUACAGCUGAUAUUUUGUAAUAACUGUAAAUGGAGUGUGACUUUUACAAAUUGUAUUAAAAAUUUUUUUUUAAAUAAAGGCAAAAAACCCCAAAACAACACAGAUACAUUGACCACCGGAAAACAAUAGAGAGCCCAGAAAUGAACCCAUUCACAUACAUUCAACUAACAUGUGACAAGGACACCAAAAUCACACAACGGGGAAAGGUAGACCCUUUAAUAAAUGGUAUUGGGAAAACACGAUAUCCACAGGCAAAAGAAUGAAACUGGAUUCUUACCUUAUACCAUUCACAAAAAUGAAUUCAAAAUGGACCAAAGACUUAAAUGUAAGACCGGAAACUAAACGUCCCAGCGGAAAGCCCAGGGGAAAAGCCCCUUGACAUUGGUCUUGACAGUGACUUCUUAGAUAUGUGACACCAGAAGCACAGGCAAUAAAAGCAAAUAAACCAGAGACUACAGAAGGUGAAAGAAUCUCUGCACAGCCAAAGAAACCGUCAACAAAAUGCAAAGGCCACCUACCAAAUGGGGGACACCAUUUGCAAACCAUAUAUCUGAUCAGAGGCCAAUAACUGGAACUUAUAAGGAAUUCAAUAGCCAAGAUACAAAUAACUUCAUCAAAAAACAAGCAGAUGACCUGAGCAGAUAUUUUUCCAAAGGAGACAUACAGGUGGCCAACGGGUACCUGAAAAUACAGAUGUUCAAUAUCAUGAACCACCAGGGAAAAGCAAAUCAAAACUACCAGGAGAUCACAUUUCAUCUGUUUGAAUGGCUAUUAUCAAAAAGACAAGAAGUAACGAGCAUCGGCAAGAAGGGGCAAAAUCGGAAACCUGUGUGCAUUGCUGGUGGGAACGCAAAUGAGUGCAGCUGCUACAGUAAACAGUAGGGAUGUUUCUCAAAAACUAAAAUUAGAACUACCACGUGAUCCAGCAAUUCCACUAGUGGGUAUUUAUCUGAAGAAAUGAAAACACUAGCCCAAAAGGUACCCACAUCCCAUGUUCAUUGCAGCAUCAUUCCCAAUAGCCAAGAUGUGGAAACAACUUAGGUGCCCAUUGACAGGGGGAUGGGUAAAGGAACGGUGGCUUAGAUGUAUGAUGGAGUAUUAUUCAGCCAUAAAGAAAAAGGAAAUCCCGUAUAAUGUAAUAUGUUCAAUGGAAUAUUAUCCGGCCAUAAAGAAGCAAAUCCUGUACAAUGUAAUGGGCACAGUGGAAUAUUAUUCAGCCAUAAAAAAGAAAGAAAUCCUGCUAUUUGGGACAACGUGGAUGAGUCUGGUGGACAUUAUGUUAUGUGAAAUAAACUGGACAAACUAAGACAAUUACUCUCACAUGGUAUCACUUAAAAUGUGGAGUCUGGAAAAAAAAAGGGGGGAGCCCAUGGGAACUGAAAAUAGAAUUCUAGUUGCCAGGACCUUGGAAGUGAAGAUACGUGUUCAACGUACAAAGUUCCAGUUAAAGAUGAAAAAGUGUUGGAGACUAAUGUCCAGCAUGGCGCCCGUGGUUAACUCUAAUGUGUUGCAGGCUUGAAAGUUGCUAAGAGAGUAGAUCUUAACCCUUCCCAUCUCAGAGGUAAAAGGUAAAACACUGUCAGGUGAUGGGUGUGUAAAUUAACUUGAUUAUGGCCAGUAUUUCAUAACGUACAGGUAUCCCAAACCAUCACACUGUACACUUUUUAAUUUUUCUUUUUAUGGCUGCACCUGCAGGGUAUGGAAGGUCCUAGCUAGGGGUCGAAUUAUAACUGCAGCUGCCAUACUACACUACGGCCACAGCCACACAGGAUCUGAGCUGCAUCUGCAGCCUAUGCUGUGGCUUGCAGCAAUGCUGGAUCUUCAAUCCACUGAGCAAGGCAAAGGAUUGAACCUGAAUCCUCAGGGAGACGAUGUUAGGUUCUUAACCCACUAAGCCGCCACAGGAACUCCCCCAUAGUACACUUUAAAGGCACAUGAUUUUGUCAAUGAUAUCUCAGUAGAGCUGAGGGGUGGGGGAGAGAAGGAAAUUCUAACCAACAAACAAAUGCUUGGCAUCAUGCUCUGUAGGCAGGUGUGUUCUACCAGUUACCACCUCGUGGUGAAGCUUGGCCUGGAUCCUUACUAGUGAAGAAGAGAAUGGCUCAACCCUCCCGCUGGCCAUCAACGUUCUCAGAGACACCCAGCUCAGGCGAGGCUCCUCGGAGACAAUGAUGGGACGCGGCAAAGCACGGCCAUUUCAUCACUCCGUCUCAGCACAGACAGAAACAAGGGCGCCGUGUCAGCCAAGGCAUCCAGUCACCGAACACCAAACUGCCCCUCUCUUGGCUGAGAUAAGGGACAGCUGCUUCUUUUCCAAAGGCAGUUGCAUCUUCAUCUAGACUGCACAACAGGUCGAUGGUGAGCCCAAUCAUAGACACGCCUGCUUUCUGACAGGCUCCAAACCAUCUAGAGCACCUCCCUGCUUCCCUGGUCCCUCCCCCCAAACCUCCCAACCAAGCUCUCAUCAGACUGUCAGCAGUUCUUUCCAGCACUCUCUCAUCCACUCACCCCCAGGCUCCCCCCAUGUGUCUUCUUCCUCAAUGCUCAACUGCAGGCAUGAAGCUCCACCCCUCUGGGCGCAUCUGUAAAGUGGAGGAGCAGGAGUUCCCACUGUGGCUCAGUAGGUUAAGAACCUGACUGGUAUCCAUGAGGAUGUGGGUUCGAUCCCUGGCCUUGCUCAGUGGGUUAAGGAUCCGGAGUUGCCGUGAGCUGCGGUGUGGGUUGCAGAUGGGGCUUGGAUCCCGAGUUGCUGUGGCUGUGGUGCAGGCCAGCAGCUGCAGCUUUGAUUCGACCCCUAGCCUGGGAACUUCCAUAUGCUGUGGGUGCAGCCCUAAAAAGACACAAAUAAAAAUAAAAGAAUGGGGAGUUCCCGUCGUGGCGCAGUGGUUAACGAACCCAACUAGAAACCAUGAGGUGGCGGGUUCGAUCCCUGCCCUUGCUCAGUGGGUUAACGAUCUGGUGUUGCCGUGAGCUGUGGCAUAGGUUGCAGAUGCGGCUCAGAUCCAGCAUUGCUCUGGCCCUGGUGUAGGCCAGCGGCUUCAGCUCCGAUUAGACCCCUAGCCUGGGAACUUCCAUAUGCCGCGGGAGUGGCCCAAGAAAUGGCAAAAAGACAAAAUAAAUACAUAAAUAAAUAAAAUAAAUACAUCUCAAAAAAAAUAAAAUAAAAGAAUGGACAAGCAAUGGUGAGCUCAGUGAGGGCUGUGGCACACCAGACCCUCUAUCGCCGACAGGGGACACUUUUGCUAACAGGCUAGCCAGCUGGGCUCCUACCUGCUCUCAGAAACCGAGGAGAGGGGUUGGGGGUGGCGGCGGGGUUUGCGCUCUGCUCACCAGAGAGCCCAAGGCACAGACACUUGGCGCACAUUAUAUCCUGCCUUUUCAGAAGCAGCUUCCCCAGGGACCCCCAGAGCUGGUGGUGCUGUUAGGGGAGGAGGGAGUCCCCCAGAGAUAUCCUGGACCUCAGGGCAAGUGAGCCUUGGUGGCUCUUGGGGACAGCUGUGCAUCCCAGGGGUGGCUCUUGGGGACAGCUGU
Molecule: long non-coding RNA, 5277 nt
Filed under: Sus scrofa (pig)
Lineage: Eukaryota; Metazoa; Chordata; Mammalia; Artiodactyla; Suidae
Description: lncRNA (ENSSSCG00015039377.1)
Source: RNAcentral